Molecule: long non-coding RNA, 2611 nt
Organism: Siniperca chuatsi (mandarin fish)
Lineage: Eukaryota; Metazoa; Chordata; Actinopteri; Centrarchiformes; Sinipercidae
Exons: 3
Source: RefSeq, a predicted model, not a curated record
ACAAGAGUAGGGAAAGAGGGUUGAUGGGUUUGGGGAAUGAGUCAAUUUGUAACCGCCUCAUUUCAUGUUCCCAUCUAAAUAAGUUGAUUAUAUUAAUUUUUGGUUGCGAGGAUGCCGGGUUGCCAGGUUAGAUCUGUAAAUUCCCCCAGUGGGUGGAGCCUCUGGCCACAGGUCCUCUGAGCCUUUUUGUUUUGUUUUGUUUUUUUUCUCACAGAGGCACUGGAAACGGCUGCUGUCGUCAUGGCAACAGAGAGGAGGCUGGCGAGCUCGGGUUUCAUCCACGCCUUUGUCUCUGGUCUAUAUCAGGCUACCAAGUGACGUGUGACUUUGUGGACUCACAGGAAACAGAAGAACUCCACAACAAGCUGAAAACACAUCUCCGACUUAUAAAGCUCUGGUUUGGUCUCCACCACCUCUUGAUGGAUAGUCGACUUUCUCUUUGUCAGAGUGAGUUUAUUAAAGAUUUUUUUUUUUGCUGAAAACUGCUUCCUGAUGUGGCUUCAUGACAGCAGUAGCAUUCAACCAUACACUUAAUGUGCAACAAAACCAAAACAGGCAAAAAGGUGCAUAAAGCAGCAGAGUUUGGAGAUGAUUCUCUUACAUUACGAGACACCAUGCAUAUUAUAUUUAGUCAUUUGAUCCAAUGUUACUAUAAAAAAUAUUAACAAGUGGGGCUUUAAAAACAUUGAGCCAAAGGACAAGUUUGUAUGAACAACAGCAAUGAUGACACUUCAGUCUAAUUAUGUUAUUUAUUAUAUUAAUGUAUUUAUUAUAUAUGGUCAUAUUCUGUUGUAUUCUGUCAUGGUACACAUACAUUCCUAGUGUCUCUGUAUUGUUUGUCCCCUGUUGGUUCUCCGUCUGUGUUUGUCUGUGUAUCGUGUGUAUGUGUGUGUGUGUGUGUGUGUGUGUGUAUGUGUCUGCUAACGGGGCACGGCCUCCGAGGAACCUCCAAUCAGGAACUGACACACCUGCAACUCACCUGCUGUUACCCACCUGUUCUCCAUCCACUAAUCAACAACUGGCAGUGUACAUACCCAGCUCUUUGCUCCAGCUAUCGCCAGAUUGCCUGUCUACCUACGUGGUGUCAUCGCCUAGUCCACCGGCUCCUGGCGUUUCCCUCCACACACCUGGUGUCUCUCGUGCUUGUACUAAACUGAAACUAAUCACUCCAUUUUCCUCUGGGCUGCUGGUUUUAUUAAUCAUGAUUUCCCCUGUAAUAUUAUUAAUUUGAUAUAUUUAUAACAUUAGCAUAUUUUGGAAUUGUGUUUCUGUCCACCUGGCCUAUUCACUGCCCCUUUUAUCUCUGGUUUGGUGUCCACAACUCCUGAGGAAAAAAAAUAUAAAUCUAGCUCUUUAGUUAGAUGGUUGAUUUUCUUCACCAGGUAGGGGUUAAUUUAGUCUGUCAAACAGACGCUACCUUCCCAGCACCAAACGACAGACAAUGUGCUGAAAACAGCUGCCUGCUGCUGCUGAGAACAUGGUUGUUUAGGGGAUCAGAUGAAACCAUCCAGUAAAUGUGCUGUAAAACUACAACAAUCAGCAAGAAACAAUGAAAAGAGUUUAAAAAGCUUCAUAGAGCCACAGAGUUGGGUGAUAAUUCUGUGGGUUUGUCACCAUAAGCAACCCUUUUAACACUGAUCCACUGUUAAUCUAAAACAUGUUGACCUCUGUGUAAGGACAGCUGCGUUACCACAGUUUCUGUUUACACUUGAGUGUAUUUGGACAAGUAAACUCUGAUUUCCUUCACAUUUGUGGCUGUGUGUGAGUCAAAGGAAGCUGACUUGUAUGCAGAGCUUGUUUGGACAAACAAAUCCGUCACGUUCUUUCUAGCAACUACUGCUUUGGAUGACUAAUACCAUUGAAGAGAAUCUACAUGUAAAAUAUAAAAAAACAAAUACCAGAAUGUUGGCUAAAUUUUACAUUUUUGUCUGCUAAAAUCGAAACCACACACUGUCUGACAAACAAGAUAUGCCUUUACGUGGUCAGCUGAUAUUUGUGUCAAAAGUCAUCUCAGGCUCCAAGUGACAGUGGCUAAAAAACAUCUGUAUUAUGGGAUGUUUGUUUAUCUUUUAUUUUCCUUUGAGACACUGAUACACAGGCAAAUAUGAUGGCUUUGAAUUAUUGUGCCAACCAGCACUUUUAAAAGCUUCAGUCUAUAUAUCUGGAGACUCUUCGCAAACAGCUAUUUUUUCUGUCUGAACAUUUUUUUGAAACAUAAUUCAAAAAGAGAAAUUAUCAAAAAGACAUCCAGGACUGUUAAAAGAUACUUUCAAAGUUACUGAGUUGUCACCAUCCCAAAGCCUACCACUGGCUUUCAAAAGCAAAGAACUGAAAGCGGUUUCUGUCACUUUUAUAGUUUUGAUGUGACAUAAGAAAGGCUGAAAUAUCAGGAUAAAGCCACGUAUCACAGGAACAAGCAACUUUCAGAUUAUUAGCAUAUGACAAAUGGAAAGUUGAGCUACGAAUGAUUCCUGUGAGGACCAAGUCUGCAGGUUUUAGUUCAGAUAGCAUCUCAUUUAUAUUUACCAUUUACUCAUAACGGUAAAUGGACUGUACUUGUAUAAUGCCUUUCUAGUGUUCCGACCACUCAAAGCGCUUCACACAACAUAUC